UACGGAGGGGGCUAGCGUUGUUCGGAAUUACUGGGCGUAAAGCGCACGUAGGCGGCUUUGUAAGUUAGAGGUGAAAGCCCGGAGCUUAACUCCGGAACUGCCUUUAAGACUGCAUCGCUCGAAUCAUGGAGAGGUCAGUGGAAUUCCGAGUGUAGAGGUGAAAUUCGUAGAUAUUCGGAAGAACACCAGUGGCGAAGGCGGCUCACUGGACUGGUAUUGACGCUGAGGUGCGAAAGCGUGGGGAGCAAACAGG
RNAcentral lists this ribosomal RNA (253 nucleotides) under uncultured bacterium. Its description in RNAcentral is "partial 16S ribosomal RNA". It matches the Rfam family "Bacterial small subunit ribosomal RNA", at positions 524 to 776 of the family's 1533-position model. The record is from RNAcentral.